RNAcentral lists this ribosomal RNA (264 nucleotides) under uncultured bacterium. RNAcentral's name for it is "partial 16S ribosomal RNA". It matches the Rfam family "Bacterial small subunit ribosomal RNA", at positions 793 to 1055 of the family's 1533-position model. The record is from RNAcentral.
GUCCACGCCGUAAACGAUGUCGACUAGCCGUUGGGAUCCUUGAGAUCUUAGUGGCGCAGCUAACGCAUUAAGUCGACCGCCUGGGGAGUACGGCCGCAAGGUUAAACUCAAAUGAAUUGACGGGGCCCGGCACAAGCGGUGGAGCAUGUGGUUUAAUUUCGAAGCAACGCGAAGAACCUUACCUGGCCUUGACAUGCUGAGAACUUUUCCAGAGAUGGAUUGGUGCCUUCGGGAACUCAGACACAGGUGCUGCAUGGCUGUCGU